GCCUCGACCCACCAGCCGUGGAGGCCAUGGCGACGGCUCAAGCAGCAGCAGCGGGAGAUGGACGACCUCCUCCGCUGCGCCCUGGACGUCGACCUCACCCGUCUCCCUUUUAUAACUAUAAGGAGCUCAUGCUUCUAUUGCCCCCCACCGUGUGUGCCAGGGGUCGGAUGCGCCGCUGGUCGGCGCGCACCGAGAUGGCCAUCCCCAUCCCAGAGAAAGUGGAAAAGAGAGGUGGGGGAGGUGAUUGCGUGCAUGGCCAACAACAGGGGUGUUGCCUCCUAAUACCUUUCACCUCUGCCCUUGCUGCCGUGCGAUGGCAGUAGAGAUUGCCUUCCUCUGCGUCUCCUUAGUUUAGGUUGCUGUCAGCCUUGAGGCAGCGUUGAUGAUGGGCGGCAGUGGGUUAAGGGAAGGCGACUUGCUCUGCAUGUAGGAUGUCAGGACAAUGACGGCUGCUGCUGGAUUGUGCUUCCAGCUGCCUUUUCUUUCGUUGACAGUGCUUUCUCUUUUAUGUGCAUGGUGUUGCCCUACUCACUAGGUUGCUGGAAGUACUUAUUGAUUGCAGAUGGCAUGUUAUGUACUGGUUUGUGGUUUAUUGGGAGAGUACUAUAUGGUACUAUUAGUUUUGAGAGCGAUUGGAAAAUAGGUACCACCUUUGUGGUUGUGAUGUAGUUUGAAACUAGAGUAAACUCUAUCAUUUUGGUUUUCUUCAAGUGUUGAGUCCUGUGUUAUAUUCUUCGAAAUGGUUAGAUCUAUAGGAGUCAUUUUCUGUACUUUUUCUAUCGCAUUGUUGUUGGUUUUGUGGUUUUCUGCCGAUGAGUGAAGUUGUUGCUCUAAAAUAGGUAUGUUCUGCACAUUGGUAGGUUCAUUAGUGCUACACAGGUAAGAUGCAUGAUAGCUUGAGAUUAGCUUAUCUAGUUUUAUGAUUUGACUUCAACUACACACAACAGUUGAGGUUGAAACAUAAAAUGUAGCCAACAUGUAUUUGCUGCUUUGUUCUGAAUUAUUCCUAUGCUUAUCACUGGUUUUAUUUCUUUGUUAUGAAUUAUUCCAGUGUUUAGCACUGUAUGUUUACAAUAUACAAAAUAAAAUCAAUUUACUGUAGCCAACAUUCACAUCUGUUUUGGAGUUAAACUCUUAGUUGUGUUUUUGGAAAUAAUAUGGAGAUUACCAUCUGGAAGUUAAACUUUUAGUUGUGAUUUUUAUCCACUGCUGCUAGUUAUUUAAACUAUUAAUAUCCUGGUACUUAGUAAAUAUGUUACUAUUUUUUUGAAUCAUUUCUGAUUAUCAUACAUAUGAACAUAUGAAUUCCCCAUGUGCUAUGAAAGGAUCAAUCUUCUCAUGUCCUGUGUCUACACUAGAUUACUUGUACUGAGAUGAUAUUUCCGGUACCAAAUUGUUCCUUCAGGUAGCAGUAGUAACAUAGCCACCCUCUCGUUCUCUUUGCAUCUUUGAAGGCUCUCUCUGGACUCUUUUUACAUGUUCUCUUCAUUGCUUUAAGCAUCGUAGCAUAAAUCUAGCUACUUGUUGGUAUUGAGUAUUGACCUAUUCUUGAUUUAUCUGCCUUGCCUGCUUUCAAUGCUCAGAUUAAGUCAGCCCGAGGUCAUGAGCUGAGCUGGCACCCUCUUUUGAUAUCACAGUUAGAACAUAUAUUGCUCAUGUCUUGUUGUUGCACAUGUAACUCAAUCCGAUUCAUUCAUUUUUUCCUUUUGCUGACAUUUCUCAUUGAUUUCUUCUAGUUCAUCACACCUAAGGUUUAGGCAUGCAAUCACACAUGUAGUUGAUACUACCGGAUUUUGAUUUGUAGUUGAUACUAGCUGCUGGAUAAUGUUUACUCUACUGAAAAAUAUCUCCUCUUGAUUACUAUUUGAUACUAGAUGCCUUUAACUCUUGCGUCCAAUGAGGAAUCAAUGACCAAAUGCAUCUCACCAUGGCCGCUGUUGUGCAACAUCUCCAGGUUGUGCAUGCAAGAAUCAAGAACCAUCGACAGGAGGAGCUGUGGUUGGCGUACCUCUACCUUGAGGAGGAAGGAUGAAUCGACCCGGUUCUUGUGCUGCAUCGCAAGUGGUACUGGUGUGGCACCCUUGCUGCCAAGGGUCACCAUCGAUGCUCCGGUCACUGACUGCAACGACGCUGCUUGUGUCACCGGAGAGGAGAACGCCGUCUUUUCCACAGCUGCCACAUCGUAUCGCUGUUUGAACGGGGACGACCAUGACAUCGUCAAGAAGAAUUUGAUGGUUCAGUUUGUUUGGAUGAAUAUGGUGCCAUGCAGCUGAUGAGAUACGAGUUUAUAGCUUCGGAGAAUGGUGGUACAUGCAGUGGCAGUGAUGGGCGUCAGCGAUUGGUUCAUGUCCGACAACAACUUGCUCUUACUCAGCUCAGACGAUGCUGGGUCUAUCUAGUGCAGCUAGUUGUUGGAGCAGAAUGGAGGCACUAGGUUCUGGUUUAAAAUCACCAUGUUUAAUUAGUGCGUCAGCCACAGGCAGAAGGUGAUAUCUUAAUUGCGGUGCUGGAGCAUGUGAAGGUGCAGCUGGCAUCCCAUCCAUGUGAAGAGGGAGGACAUAGACGGGAUGCUGGACUGGGUGAGGGUGCUCGCCUAGAGUGUCUCGGAAGAAGGCGCCAUGGCCGCUGGAUUGGCGGAUCGGUACUUCUGGCAGUGCGGGAGGCGGUGGCUAGGAAGAGGGUUCGGCACGCAUCGACGAAUGGCCAGUUCUUGCAGGACCAACUCGAUGAGAAGAUUUUCUAAUGUAUUUUCAUGGUAGAUAUUGUUGAGAAAAUUCUGACCAUGGUAGAGGCUGCUGAUGGAUCAUGGUGGAACCUGAUAAUAUCGACACAUGUUUCCAGAGGUUGGCAGUGAGCUAUACUCAUGAUCAUCUAGCCGUCGAGCCUCGUUUGAGCAUUGGUAGCCGGAUGAGAUGCUAGAUGGAGCAGUCUGCGGGUUGCCAUGGCGCUCAUGUAGGGGAUGCUCAUUUUGCCAAGCCGGCCAGACUUGCUCUUUAACUUGAUGGAUGUUAUGUGAUGUUGGUCAAGCUAGAUGUGUGUUCAUCGUCAGCUCUCCAAGGCUAUUUUUGAUGUAUGGUAUUUUGAGAUGGACAUGGUAGUAGCUAGCUAUUGGUUGGUGUCGUGUUGUGUUCUUUUUUUUAAUAACAAUCGUGUUUUGUUCUUGCGGCAACCUCGAGUCAAUACUUGGAUCUGAUCGGUCGAUGUGUAGGAAGCUAGCUAGCUUAUGCAUGGUGGGUUCAUACGAAGGGUAUGUGUGGUAGAUUAACACACAUGAAUGCAAAUCACCAGAAUGACAAGCAGAACGCGGUAGCUAACAUGUAUGUUGGCUUGUGUAUUCAUAUAUAUACAGAAAUAAAUCUAGAAUUUCAGUUUGCUGUUCUA
Lolium rigidum is the source of this 3381-nucleotide long non-coding RNA. RefSeq lists it as uncharacterized. The transcript is spliced from 9 exons. Lineage: Eukaryota; Viridiplantae; Streptophyta; Magnoliopsida; Poales; Poaceae. The record is from RefSeq and is a predicted model, not a curated record.